Molecule: long non-coding RNA, 349 nt
Filed under: Brassica napus (rape)
Lineage: Eukaryota; Viridiplantae; Streptophyta; Magnoliopsida; Brassicales; Brassicaceae
Description: long non-coding RNA (BNAP_LNC023687)
Source: RNAcentral
UGUGUGAGUGUGUGUGUGUCUUUUCAAUAUCAUCUUUAAAAUUUAUUUGUUUGAAGAGUUGUGUCUUUUUAAUUAGCUUUAAAAUAGUUAAAAUGUUCCAAAAAGUGAUUUCCUAAAAAUUUAAGAACUGUGUCUAUUUAUUUGGUUGUAAUAUUUCAUCUUAAAAGUUGUAUUAAGAAAUUGACAAAUUAUAUAUGCCUCUUUUCAACAUAUCUCUAAAAUGUAUUAGGUUUAACACUUAUGCCUUUUAAAUUAGUUUUAAAAUGAGUUAAAAUAUCUCAUCUUUCUAAACAUUUAAGAGCUGUGUCUUCUUAUUAUUAAAAGCAAAUUAUUUUUAACGAAGUUGCUA